RNAcentral lists this transfer RNA (71 nucleotides) under Candidatus Levybacteria bacterium RIFCSPLOWO2_01_FULL_40_64. RNAcentral describes it as "tRNA-Gln". It matches the Rfam family "tRNA". From Rfam's summary of the family: Transfer RNA (tRNA) molecules are approximately 80 nucleotides in length. Their secondary structure includes four short double-helical elements and three loops (D, anti-codon, and T loops). Further hydrogen bonds mediate the characteristic L-shaped molecular structure. tRNAs have two regions of fundamental functional importance: the anti-codon, which is responsible for specific mRNA codon recognition, and the 3' end, to which the tRNAs corresponding amino acid is attached (by aminoacyl-tRNA synthetases). tRNAs cope with the degeneracy of the genetic code in two manners: having more than one tRNA (with a specific anti-codon) for a particular amino acid; and 'wobble' base-pairing, i.e. permitting non-standard base-pairing at the 3rd anti-codon position. Lineage: Bacteria; Candidatus Levyibacteriota. RNAcentral also lists the same sequence under 2 other names. The record is from RNAcentral.
UGUCGGAUCGUCUAAUGGUAGGACGACAGAUUCUGGAUCUGUCUAUCUAGGUUCGAAUCCUAGUCCGACAG